UACGGGGGGGGCAAGCGUUGUUCGGAAUUACUGGGCGUAAAGGGCUCGUAGGUGGCCAAUUAAGUCAGACGUGAAAUCCCCAGGCUCAACUUGGGAACUGCGUCUGAUACUGGUUGGCUUGAAUUCGGGAGAGGGAUGCAGAAUUCCAGGUGUAGCGGUGAAAUGCGUAGAUAUCUGGAGGAAUACCGGUGGCGAAGGCGGGUCUCUGGGCCACUACUGACGCUGAGGAGCGAAAGCGUGGGGAGCAAACAGG
Molecule: ribosomal RNA, 253 nt
Filed under: uncultured bacterium
Lineage: Bacteria
Description: partial 16S ribosomal RNA
Rfam family: Bacterial small subunit ribosomal RNA
Source: RNAcentral